RNAcentral lists this long non-coding RNA (315 nucleotides) under Olea europaea subsp. europaea. Lineage: Eukaryota; Viridiplantae; Streptophyta; Magnoliopsida; Lamiales; Oleaceae. The record is from RNAcentral.
GGGCAGAGAGGCUGGAAACGGCAGAGGAGGAAAAGAAGAAAGAAAAGAAAAGAAAAAGAAGAAGAAAAAGAAGAGGAGAAAAAGGAAGGAAAAUAGAUAGUUCAAGCUUAUUUCCAUUCUCCUUUCUCUAUAUUUUCUUCAAGAGGUAAAUGAAUGAUUUUAUGUUAAAUUUUUAGGGUUUUAACUUGUGGUAUAAAUUUCAGAUUUAAGAGGCUAAGAGUACAAAUUGGAGCUCAAGUUUGUUGAUUCUUUAAUCUCCAAUUUCAUUAAGGUAAGAAUACUAAUUUUUGGCAAACCCUAGAUUUUAAAUUGGAU